ACGUCUUUCAGAGUUGUACCGCGUCUCGUUGCUUUUUCAACAACAGUUGCCGCAUGAGCGCAGCUUUAGGACGCCAUUUCAACAAAAACUUCUAGGACUGCAAAGUGCGCGCGCGCAAGUUCAGGUGACCACAAGCAGUAUGGCGGGAGCUGCAUAUUGUAAACAACGCCAAAUGACGAUUUUCCUGGAAAGGUCUGUCAAGAGUUAUUGAAGUCAUUCAACGUUUGUCAACUUCCAUCUGAUGCUUUAAAAGUAACUGUAGUUGUCAAAGACACCAUAUGACUGUUGCAUUAAAACAAAAAAAUGACAGCGUCUGAGACCAGACACUUUCGACAUACAGGGCCAAGCUGUGUUGAAAGCUGGGAAUAAACGUUUUUGUCAUAUCAAGAUCUAAAGAAACAAGUAAAGCAAGGUUGGGGCUGUAAGCUUCAUGAGUUGCUGUGGACUUGGCGGCUAAUUGAGGAGCAGCUCCACACCCUGUCGUCAUUAAUCACUAGGGCUGCCGGGCUGCCUGCCCGGGACACUGAUGUGAUGGGAUGCAGCUCU
Long non-coding RNA from Cyprinus carpio (common carp), 546 nucleotides. RefSeq lists it as uncharacterized. Lineage: Eukaryota; Metazoa; Chordata; Actinopteri; Cypriniformes; Cyprinidae. The record is from RefSeq and is a predicted model, not a curated record.